This 1354-nucleotide ribosomal RNA is filed under the name uncultured bacterium. RNAcentral describes it as "bacterial SSU rRNA". It matches the Rfam family "Bacterial small subunit ribosomal RNA", at positions 9 to 1372 of the family's 1533-position model. The record is from RNAcentral.
GAGUUUGAUCCUGGCUCAGGAUGAACGCUAGCGGCAGGCUUAACACAUGCAAGUCGAGGGGUAUAGUUCUUCGGAGCUAGAGACCGGCGCACGGGUGCGUAACGCGUAUGCAAUCUACCUUUUACAGAGGGAUAGCCCAGAGAAAUUUGGAUUAAUACCUCAUAGCAUUGCACAAUGGCAUCAUUGAGCAAUUAAAGUCACAACGGUAAAAGAUGAGCAUGCGUCCCAUUAGCUAGUUGGUAAGGUAACGGCUUACCAAGGCUACGAUGGGUAGGGGUCCUGAGAGGGAGAUCCCCCACACUGGUACUGAGACACGGACCAGACUCCUACGGGAGGCAGCAGUGAGGAAUAUUGGACAAUGGGCGCAAGCCUGAUCCAGCCAUGCCGCGUGCAGGACGGACGGUCCUAUGGAUUGUAAACUGCUUUUGCACAGGAAGAAACAACUCUACGUGUAGAGUCUUGACGGUACUGUGAGAAUAAGGAUCGGCUAACUCCGUGCCAGCAGCCGCGGUAAUACGGAGGAUCCAAGCGUUAUCCGGAAUCAUUGGGUUUAAAGGGUCCGUAGGCGGUCUUAUAAGUCAGUGGUGAAAUCUCCCCGCUCAACGGGGAAACGGCCAUUGAUACUGUAGGACUUGAAUUAUUAGGAAGUAACUAGAAUAUGUAGUGUAGCGGUGAAAUGCUUAGAGAUUACAUGGAAUACCAAUUGCGAAGGCAGGUUACUACUAAUGGAUUGACGCUGAUGGACGAAAGCGUGGGUAGCGAACAGGAUUAGAUACCCUGGUAGUCCACGCCGUAAACGAUGGAUACUAGCUGUUGGGAGCAAUUUCAGUGGCUAAAGCGAAAGUGAUAAGUAUCCCACCUGGGGAGUACGUUCGCAAGAUGAAACUCAAAGGAAUUGACGGGGGCCGCACAAGCGGUGGAGCAUGUGGUUUAAUUCGAUGAUACGCGAGGAACCUUACCAAGGCUUAAAUGUAGAUUGACCGGUUUGGAAACAGACUUUUCGCAAGACAAUUUACAAGGUGCUGCAUGGUUGUCGUCAGCUCGUGCCGUGAGGUGUCAGGUUAAGUCCUAUAACGAGCGCAACCCCUGUUGUUAGUUGCCAGCGAGUCAUGUCGGGAACUCUAACGAGACUGCCAGUGCAAACUGAGAGGAAGGUGGGGAUGACGUCAAAUCAUCACGGCCCUUACGCCUUGGGCUACACCCGUGCUACAAUGGCCGGUACAGAUCGCAAACACUGGGUGACCAGGAGCGAAUCUACAAAACCGGUCACAGUUCGGAUCGGAGUCUGCAACUCGACUCCGUGAAGCUGGAAUCGCUCGUAAUCGGAUAUCAGCCAUGAUCCGGUGAAUACGUU